AUUGUCUUAAAUGUAACUGUCACUGACACACCUGUGAGUCCAAAGAAAUAGAUACAGAGUGGUGUCCCAGUAGGCAGGAGGGCAGCGGUGGCUGUGUCAGCCAGGUGUCACAAUGGGCAGCGGGGCAGCGGUGGCUGUGUCACCCAGGCGUCACAGUGGGGCCGUGACACGUCCGCCCAGUCGGGAUAAAAGGCCCCUGGUUGUGGGCAGGCCCCAGUCGGGAUGGAAGCCCCUGGCAGCAGGCAGCAGAGGGCAGAGCAGGGCAGGACAGGGAGGUGAGUGCGCGAUGGAGCAGGGGCUGAAGCGGUGUCCGAGGCUGAGCAGGGCCAGAGUCCCGCUGCAGCCUGAGCAGGGGCUGGAGCUCAGCAGCUGCUCGAGCAGGGGCUGGCUUUGAGCAGCCCCCACAGCACAACGGGAACCAAGUGUUUGCUGCAGAAACGGUGUUGCAGACCUUCCACCCAAGUGUUUGGGUGUCCUGGG
Molecule: long non-coding RNA, 480 nt
Organism: Cygnus olor (mute swan)
Lineage: Eukaryota; Metazoa; Chordata; Aves; Anseriformes; Anatidae
Exons: 3
Source: RefSeq, a predicted model, not a curated record